GGUGAAAAGCACCCCGGAAGGGGAGUGAAAUAGAACCUGAAACCGUGUGCUUACAAGUAGUCAGAGCCCGUUAAUGGGUGAUGGCGUGCCUUUUGUAGAAUGAACCGGCGAGUUACGAUUUGAUGCAAGGUUAAGCAGUAAAUGUGGAGCCGUAGCGAAAGCGAGUCUGAAUAGGGCGUUUAGUAUUUGGUCGUAGACCCGAAACCAGGUGAUCUACCCUUGGUCAGGUUGAAGUUCAGGUAACACUGAAUGGAGGACCGAACCGACUUACGUUGAAAAGUGAGCGGAUGAACUGAGGGUAGCGGAGAAAUUCCAAUCGAACCUGGAGAUAGCUGGUUCUCUCCGAAAUAGCUUUAGGGCUAGCCUCAAGUGAUGAUUAUUGGAGGUAGAGCACUGUUUGGACGAGGGGCCCCUCUCGGGUUACCGAAUUCAGACAAACUCCGAAUGCCAAUUAAUUUAACUUGGGAGUCAGAACAUGGGUGAUAAGGUCCGUGUUCGAAAGGGAAACAGCCCAGACCACCAGCUAAGGUCCCAAAAUAUAUGUUAAGUGGAAAAGGAUGUGGCGUUGCCCAGACAACUAGGAUGUUGGCUUAGAAGCAGCCAUCAUUUAAAGAGUGCGUAAUAGCUCACUAGUCGAGUGACACUGCGCCGAAAAUGUACCGGGGCUAAACAUAUUACCGAAGCUGUGGAUUGUCCUUUGGACAAUGGUAGGAGAGCGUUCUAAGGGCGUUGAAGCAUGAUCGUAAGGACAUGUGGAGCGCUUAGAAGUGAGAAUGCCGGUGUGAGUAGCGAAAGACGGGUGAGAAUCCCGUCCACCGAUUGACUAAGGUUUCCAGAGGAAGGCUCGUCCGCUCUGGGUUAGUCGGGUCCUAAGCUGAGGCCGACAGGCGUAGGCGAUGGAUAACAGGUUGAUAUUCCUGUACCACCUAUAAUCGUUUUAAUCGAUGGGGGGACGCAGUAGGAUAGGCGAAGCGUGCGA
Molecule: ribosomal RNA, 979 nt
Filed under: Staphylococcus aureus
Lineage: Bacteria; Bacillati; Bacillota; Bacilli; Caryophanales; Staphylococcaceae
Description: partial 23S ribosomal RNA
Rfam family: Bacterial large subunit ribosomal RNA
Source: RNAcentral